GUGAGGAAUUUUCCGCAAUGGGCGAAAGCCUGACGGAGCAAUGCCGCGUGAAGGAUGAAGGCCUAUGGGUUGUAAACUUCUUUUCUCAGAAAAGAAUUAUGACGGUAUCUGAGGAAUAAGCAUCGGCUAACUCUGUGCCAGCAGCCGCGGUAAGACAGAGGAUGCAAGCGUUAUCCGGAAUGAUUGGGCGUAAAGCGUCUGUAGGUUGUUUAAAAAGUAUUCUGUCAAAGAUUAGGGCUUAACCCUAGAUAGGCAGAAUAAACUUUUAAGCUAGAGUGUGGUAGAGGCAGAGGGAAUUCCCGGUGGAGCGGUGAAAUGCGUAGAUAUCGGGAGGAACACCAAAGGCGAAGGCACUCUGCUGGGCCAAUACUAACACUGAGAGACGAAAGCGAGGGGAGCAAAUGGGAUUAGAUACCCCUGUAGUCC
Molecule: ribosomal RNA, 426 nt
Filed under: uncultured bacterium
Lineage: Bacteria
Description: partial 16S ribosomal RNA
Rfam family: Bacterial small subunit ribosomal RNA
Source: RNAcentral